GACGGAGGAGGCAAGCGUUAACCGGAAUUAUUGGGCGUAAAGGGUACGUAGGCGGCUGGUCAAGUCUGGGGUGAAAGGCCAGAGCUCAACUUUGGGAAGGCCCUGGAAACUGACCGGCUAGAGUGAGGUAGGGGAUGCGGGAAUUCCCGGUGUAGCGGUGAAAUGCGUAGAGAUCGGGAAGAACACCAGUGGCGGAAGCGCGCAUCUGGCCCUCAACUGACGCUUAGGUACGAAAGCUUGGGGAGCGAAGGGG
RNAcentral lists this ribosomal RNA (253 nucleotides) under uncultured bacterium. Its description in RNAcentral is "partial 16S ribosomal RNA". It matches the Rfam family "Bacterial small subunit ribosomal RNA", at positions 524 to 776 of the family's 1533-position model. The record is from RNAcentral.